Molecule: ribosomal RNA, 492 nt
Filed under: uncultured bacterium
Lineage: Bacteria
Description: partial 16S ribosomal RNA
Rfam family: Bacterial small subunit ribosomal RNA
Source: RNAcentral
AGUGAACGCUGGCGGUAGGCCUAACACAUGCAAGUCGAACGGCAGCACAGUAAGAGCUUGCUCUUACGGGUGGCGAGUGGCGGACGGGUGAGGAAUACAUCGGAAUCUACUUUUUCGUGGGGGAUAACGUAGGGAAACUUACGCUAAUACCGCAUACGACCUACGGGUGAAAGCAGGGGAUCUUCGGACCUUGCGCGAUUGAAUGAGCCGAUGUCGGAUUAGCUAGUUGGCGGGGGAAAGGCCCACCAAGGCGACGAUCCGUAGCUGGUCUGAGAGGAUGAUCAGCCACACUGGAAGUGAGACACGGUCCAGACUCCUACGGGAGGCAGCAGUGGGGAAUAUUGGACAAUGGGCGCAAGCCUGAUCCAGCCAUACCGCGUGGGUGAAGAAGGCCUUCGGGUUGUAAAGCCCUUUUGUUGGGAAAGAAAAGCAGCAGGUUAAUACCCCGCUGUUCUGACGGUACCCAAAGAAUAAGCACCGGCUAACUUCGUG